Long non-coding RNA from Pseudophryne corroboree (corroboree frog), 522 nucleotides. RefSeq lists it as uncharacterized. The record is from RefSeq and is a predicted model, not a curated record. Lineage: Eukaryota; Metazoa; Chordata; Amphibia; Anura; Myobatrachidae. The transcript has 2 exons.
AGAGAAACCACAUGGACAAAUAAACGAGACUAUUGCAAACGGUAUCGGAAUAGUCUUCGGAUCUACGGACCUCACAGAUGAGUCCAUAGAAAAAUCUACAGAGGUGACGAGAGGGGAGUGGACCGCAAUUAAAAGGUGCUCAGGGGACGGUUAUCUGGUUGCGGCUGCACUGAAAUUCUACCACAUAGAUAAAUAUAGAGGAUCUUUGAGCAACAUCAAGUUCCUGUGUUCAACUGGAGAAUAUCUGGAGGGAGAUGGAGAGAAACGGGGGAGUUUUCAAGCCAUGAGUAAGACCUGCCCUGAUGGGAUCGCUAGUUUCCAGACUAUUCAAUAUAUUGGAAAAAGACCGGGCCACAAUUGGCCUAUCUGGAGUGAUGUCUUUUUUUCUUGCUCUCCCCGGAGACACAUUCAAUGGGGCUGAUAAAUACCAACCAACAGACCAACAUGGCCGCCCCAUGCCCUCACUUGGCACAGACAUAGUAAAGUUUUAUCUCUCUGAAUAAAGAGGAAAAUGCAUUCACA